This 1470-nucleotide long non-coding RNA is filed under the name Equus asinus (donkey). RNAcentral's name for it is "lncRNA (ENSEASG00005034767.1)". The record is from RNAcentral. Lineage: Eukaryota; Metazoa; Chordata; Mammalia; Perissodactyla; Equidae.
CUGGGCUACUUUAGCACUGUCUGGUUCAUUCAUUCACCCAACAGCUAUUCCCAGAGAACCUUCUGGGUGGCAAGCUCUGUGCUAGAUGCUGGAGACGCAGCCAUGAACCAGACAGACACGGUCUCUGCCCUCACCGAGCCUACAGACUCCAUCUACAGAGGACAUCACUGCCUGAAUAGACAUUUCUCCAAAGAGGACAUCGAAAUGGCCAACAGACACAGGAAAAGAUGCUCGACACCGCUAAUCAUCAGGGACAUGCAAAUCAAAACCACAGUGAAACCACCUCACACCGGUUAGAAUGACUGCCAUCGGGAAGACAAGAGACGACAGGGGCUGGCAAGGAUGUCCAGAAAGGGGAACACUUGUGCACUGUUGGUGGGACUGUAAAUUGGUCCAACUGCUACGGAAAACAAUAUGGAGGCUCCUCAGAAAAUUAAAAAUAGAUCUGCCAUACGAUCCAGCAAUUCCACUUCUGGGUUUAUAUCCAAAGCAAAUGAAAACAGGAUUUCAAUGAGAUCCCUGCACCCCCAUGUUCAUCGCAGCAUUAUUCCCAAUAGCCAAGAUAUGGAAACAACCUAUGUGUCCAUCAACGGAGGAAUGGAUAAAGAAGAUGUGGUCUAUAUAUAUAUACAAUGGAAUAUUAUUCAGCCAUGAGAAAGGAAGAUAUCCUCCCAUUUGUGACAAGAGGGAUGGACGUUGAGUGCUUUCUGCUAAGCCAGAUAAGUCAGAGAGAGAAUGAGUAGUACUGUGUGAUCUCACUUAUAUGUGAAAUCUAAAGAAGUUAAAUCUAUGAAAAACAGAGAGUAAAAUGGGGGUCACCAGGGGAUGGGGGAGGGGAUAGGAGUGAUGGUGUUUAAGGGUACAAUUUGUAACAAGUAGUAAAUGAGCCACAGAGCUCUAACACACAGUAUAAUGAAUAUAGACAUAAUAUUGUAUUACAAUGAUGUAAUGUGAUAAAGUUCGCUACAUCGGCAAUUAUAUUACAAUAUAUCAAUGUAUCAAAGUAACACGUUAUACACCUUAAACUUACACAAUGUUACACAUCAAAUUUAUUCAAUAAAAAAGUAAUAAUAGGGGUGGACCUGGUGGCAUAGUGGGUAAGUUUGCGUGCUCCACUUUGGCAGCCUGGGGUUUGCAGGUUCGGAUCCUGGGCACAGACCUACACAUCACGCAUCAAGCCAUGCUGUGGCGGCAUCCCACAUACAAAAUAGAGGAAGAUGGGCACAGAUGUUAGCUCAGGGCCAAUCUUCCUCACCAAAAAAUGAUAAUAAUAAUAAUAACAGCUACCAUUUGUUGAGUAGCAAAAUAAAUAACUUUUAGCCAUAUAACUUAUUUCUAAAUAACUUGUGUAACCAUCACCACGUUUUUAUGAUCCCUCAUCUUACAGAUGAGAAAAAGGAGGCAAGAGUAUCCAUGCAGGUUGCUGAGAAUCACCAGCUAUUAAUUGGUGAAACUGGAAUUUGACCCAAG